RNAcentral lists this ribosomal RNA (464 nucleotides) under uncultured bacterium. RNAcentral describes it as "SSU rRNA". It matches the Rfam family "Bacterial small subunit ribosomal RNA", at positions 26 to 518 of the family's 1533-position model. The record is from RNAcentral.
AGGAUUAACGCUGGCGGCGUGCCUAACACAUGCAAGUCGAACGAGGUAGCAAUACCUAGUGGCAGACGGGUGAGUAACGCGUGGUCAACCUACCGUUGAGUGGGGGAUAGCUAGCCGAAAGGUUAGCUAAUACCGCAUACGAGUCUCGGGGGCAUCCCUGGGCCUUAAAAGGAGCAAUCCGCUCGAUGACGGGACCGCGUCCCAUUAGCUAGAUGGUGGGGUAAUGGCCUACCAUGGCUCCGAUGGGUAGCUGGUUUGAGAGAGCGACCAGCCACACUGGGACUGAGAAACGGCCCAGACUCCUACGGGAGGCAGCAGUGAGGAAUUUUCCGCAAUGGGCGAAAGCCUGACGGAGCGACGCCGCGUGUGGGAAGAAGGCCUUCGGGUCGUAAACCACUGUCGAAGGGGACGAUAAUGACGGUACCCUUGGAGGAAGCCCCGGCUAACUACGUGCUAGCAGCCGC